Molecule: small nucleolar RNA, 138 nt
Organism: Ornithorhynchus anatinus (platypus)
Lineage: Eukaryota; Metazoa; Chordata; Mammalia; Monotremata; Ornithorhynchidae
Source: RefSeq, a predicted model, not a curated record
CCCCUCUUAGUGUUACACCUGGAGAGUUUCCAGUCCUCUACCAGUCUCAACUAUGGGAAGGAGAGUCAAGCAGAGGUCUACCCAUUCCAUUCCUAGCUUAGGCAGUGGCUAACGAGUGGAAGACAAUCUACUACAAUU